CCUACGGGUGGCAGCAGUGAGGAAUAUUGGUCAAUGGCCGGAAGGCUGAACCAGCCAAGUCGCGUGAGGGACGACUGCCCUAUGGGUUGUCAACCUCUUUUAUCAGGGAAGAAUAAAUGCUACGUGUAGCAUGAUGCCUGUACCUUCUGAAUAAGCAUCGGCUAACUCCGUGCCAGCAGCCGCGGUAAUACGGAUGGUGCGAGCGUUAUCCGGAUUUAUUGGGUUUAAAGGGUGCGUUGGCGGUUUUUUAAGUUGGUGGGUAAACGUCGGGGCUUCACCUUGAUUUGCCAUUAAUACUGUAAGACUCGAGUUCAGUCGAGGUAGGCGGAAUAAGUUAUGUAGCGGUGAAAUGCUUAGAUAUAACUUAGAACUCCGAUAGCGAAGGCAGCUUACCAGACUGCGACUGACGCUGAUGCACGAGAGCGUGGGUAGCGAACAGGAUUAGAUACCCUUGUAGUC
RNAcentral lists this ribosomal RNA (459 nucleotides) under uncultured bacterium. RNAcentral's name for it is "partial 16S ribosomal RNA". It matches the Rfam family "Bacterial small subunit ribosomal RNA", at positions 338 to 795 of the family's 1533-position model. The record is from RNAcentral.